RNAcentral lists this long non-coding RNA (1095 nucleotides) under Carassius auratus (goldfish). RNAcentral describes it as "lncRNA (ENSCARG00000007015.1)". The record is from RNAcentral. Lineage: Eukaryota; Metazoa; Chordata; Actinopteri; Cypriniformes; Cyprinidae.
AUGAGAUUUAUGAAACCGCAAAAGGAACCUGAUCGGUGGGGGGUAGACUGCAAAGAGUGCUGGCCUGCAGCAGCAGAAUGGGCGCCUGGGGAGCAAGCGCUCACAAUGGGCCUCUCAGCACCCAGACAGCAACACACACAGAAUGAGGAGGACAGAGAGGGGGAGCAGGACGAGGAGAAGGAGUAUUGUUGUCACCAUACAGAUGUCCAGGUUGAAGGUAUGAUAUCUGUAUACGAAGCUCAGAGAGCGCACCUGUAGGUCAUCACACAGCUUAGAAGAGUGAAAAACUGACAGAAUGAAAGAGAGACAGUGGAUUCUCAUAAGAAAUGUAUAUUAGUGAGAACAGCAGAUAUUUACUGAGGCCAGAAGGCACAUUCUGUCCUUUUGUGUGUUUGGAAGUCAUACUUACCCAUUGAGACUCAGUGCAGGUGUGUUGACUGAAGACACAAUAGAAACAUUUGUCAUUUUGGUAUAACAAAUCUCUUAUAAUCAUUGUUUUGUUUUUUUUUUGUUUUUUUUUGUUUUUUUGAGAAAUUUGAGUGAUCAAUGAUUUUUCUAGCAUUGGGAAAGCUACUUAGAAACUCUACAAAGAGAAAAAAAUCUAUUGAGUUUCUUUUGAAAUUUCUUAGAAAAAGUAAAAAUGUACCAUAAAACAAAUAAAUCACAGUAAAACUAUAUAGAUAUAAACAAGUGUGUAUAGGAAUGGAAUGGAGCUCAAUUUAUAUAAAAGGAAUUAAAUGCAUAAAUACUUUUUAUAAAUUAAUUUUUAUUUCCAAAUUGUAUUGAUGCAAAAGUGACAUUGCUAUUUAAUAAAAAACAAACAAACAAAAAAAAAUAUUUCAAAUAAAUGCUGUUUUGCACUUUCUAUUCACUAAAGAAUCACAGUUUCCAUAAAGUAUUUAGCAGUAAAAGGGUUUUCAACAUUGAUAAUGAUAAGAAAUGUUUCUUGAGCAGCAAAUCAGCAUAUUAGAAUGAUUUCUGAAGGAUCAUGACUCUAAAGACUGGUGUAGUGAUGCUGACAUUUCAGUGUUGCAUCAAGGAAUAAAUUACAUUUUAAAGCAUAUAUAUAUAUAUAUAUAUAUAUAUAUAUAUAUA